AAUAUAUAUCUCAGGCUCCCAGGUUGAAUUGAUCAACACUGUAAAAUCACCAUGAACAAUUUGAUUAAAUUGAUCCCUGUAUGUAGUCAACUAGGUGAACAAAUUUGACAUGUUUAGGUAUGACUUAGCUAGCAGAACUAAACCAACUCUCUGGGUUUGACUACACAAUGGAAUUUUUUUCUCUGAGAUUAAAAAAUCAUCUGGGAGAAGGAAAAAAAAAAGAAAAAUAGAAGAAGAAGAAAAAUAAAAGGGUAAUUUAUUGGGGUUUAAUAUUAUAUUUGUGAACAGAACAUGGUGGUCCCUUCUUUAAGCUUCAAAUUCAUUUAUUAUAUGCUACUAUAACUAAUAUGUAAAUUACUGUGGACACACAGAGAGAGAGAGAGAGAGAGAGAGAGAGAGAGAUGGCAAUGGGUCAGGUCAAUAGCUGUAAGGAGGACAAAAAAAACCCACAAUUAAAUACUGACUCUUAAUGCUACAGUAGAGCAGAAGAGGACAGAGAGAUAGCUAGAGGUGCAUAAAAGCUAGCAUUUAUGCAGAUGAGGGAGGAAGAUAUAGCUAGAGAGAGCUGUAGGGGGAGAAUUGUCACGAGGCUUCUCUUUCUCUUACCUAAAACAUGCAUGCCUCGAGUGUUUGUGUGCAAGGAGAUUCAGCUGGUUGCUUAAAAAGAGCCUUAAUUUCCAUCAAAGGCCAAACCUUUAUGCAGCGUCUUGCUUCUUCUUUCUAUUCUCUUGUCUGGUUUUGUUGGUUUGAGAGCUUGAAGCUGCCAGCAUGAUCUGGUAUACUUAACCUAUAGCUAUAUCAGCAUCACACUACUAGUAAUAUAUAUAUAUAUAUAUAUAUAUAUAUAUAUAUUAGAUCUUGCAGCACCAAAUUAUAAAUAUAUAUGUAUGGCCAAAUAGGUAGAGAUUGAUUUUUGGAUAUACAGAACUAAACUUUGGUGGAUGCCAUCAUUUCUUAUAGAUCUUGAUAAUUUCAUGUUUUUGAAGAGAAGGGUUUUUAGUCAAUUAAUUAAGCAAGAGAAUUGACAUCCUGCUAAUUACAUAUAUAUUUAGUUUAAUUACUAGCUAGAUAUAUGUAAGGUUCUUCUACCAGGUCAUCUUGCAGCUUCAAUCACUCACAACAACAAUAGAAAAACUUCUUUAGCUAAGGAUAUAUACAAGGUCUCUUCCCAAGCACCGGUUUAUUUCAGGGAGAAACUUUCACUACCAAAGGGCCUUUCUUUCCAAUUGUACUAACAUGUGUUAGCUUUGUUAUGCUUUAAUAGGAGAUUUCCAAGUUUACCAUGUUUAUAUAUUAUUAAGAAUCAUUUUGAAAAACCUCUAAGAGGUUGUAACAAAUGUAAUUUGAUAAUGCAAGAACUUCAAAACUAUUACCAUUUGAUUUGA
Prunus persica (peach) is the source of this 1385-nucleotide long non-coding RNA. RefSeq lists it as uncharacterized. The transcript is spliced from 2 exons. NCBI's taxonomy places the organism in Eukaryota, Viridiplantae, Streptophyta, Magnoliopsida, Rosales, Rosaceae. The record is from RefSeq and is a predicted model, not a curated record.